This 647-nucleotide long non-coding RNA is filed under the name Cyanistes caeruleus (blue tit). RNAcentral's name for it is "lncRNA (ENSCCEG00000005179.1)". Lineage: Eukaryota; Metazoa; Chordata; Aves; Passeriformes; Paridae. The record is from RNAcentral.
CCCAAAAAUCCCCUCCCCCCUCCCCAAUUUGGGGCUCCUCCCCCCCAGUUUGGUACUGGGAAGGGACUGGGAGGACCCCCCCCACUCAAAAAAUUUGGGGGGGGGGCAGCCAGAAUGCCCAAAUUUUAAAAAAAUGGGAAUUUUAGGGGGUUUUUCCCCAAUUUUGGGAUUUUUUUCCCCAAUUUUGGGGUUUUUUUCCCCAAUUUAAGGGGAUUUUUUCCCCAAUUUUGGGGUUGUUUUACCCAAUUUUGGAUUUUUUCCCCAAUUUUGGGGUUUUUUUUCCCCAAUUUUGGGGGAUUUCCCCAAUUGUAGGGGUUUUUUUCCCAAAUUUUGGGGGUUUUUUACCCAAUUUUGGGAGGUUUUUACCCAAUUUUGGGGGUUUUUUCCUCAAUUUUGGGGAUUUUUCCCCAAUUUUUGGGGUUUUUCCUCAAUUUUGGGGUGUUUUUCCUCAAUUUUGGGGUGUUUUUCCUCAAUUUUGGGGGAUUUUUCCUCAAUUUUGGGGGUCACAACUUUCUCACCCCCCCAAAAAUGUGAAUUUUGGGGUUUUUUCCCCCCAAUUUUUGGGGGUGUCACCACUUCCCCUCCCCCCAAAAAUGGGAAUUUAGGAUUUUUUCCCCAAUUUUUGUGGGGGGGGGGUCACCACUCAC